Long non-coding RNA from Pecten maximus, 303 nucleotides. RefSeq lists it as uncharacterized. The transcript is spliced from 2 exons. NCBI's taxonomy places the organism in Eukaryota, Metazoa, Mollusca, Bivalvia, Pectinida, Pectinidae. The record is from RefSeq and is a predicted model, not a curated record.
GAUUGAAAUUUGUUCAGCGUUUUGAAGUUUAGCGUCACUUUUGCACGAGACUUGCUGUUCAGAAGACGUGGUCUGAUCCAGUGCUGGGUAAUACCAAAUUGCAGAUCAUGGAAGCAGAGGACCUGAACAACAGGAGUGACAAUAUGAACGAUUGAUGGCCUGGUGAUUCACUACUUAGGUUAUGUCUGUUUCUGUUUUUUUGAAGACUGAAGUAAAAUUAAAUUUGCUUCACAAAAAUUACAGAUAGCAACAAUUAAACAAAAGCAAAAGCAAUAAAAUUAAAACAAUGAAAUAAAAUCAACC